AAAGAGAAGAAAUGAAGAGAUCUUCCAUAAGAAAUGGCAGUGUUCUUUCCUAUGUAAAUGCAUAUUGUGAUUUAUCAAGGCAGUGCAAGAAUACAUCCCAUAUAUUAAAUGAAACUGACAGAAAAAUUGGAAGAAUAAUCUCUCUCAAGAUGCAAAAUACUGAAUAAAUGGAAAAACAGGAACUGCAGGUGUAAUACAGGCUUUGAGAUUGCUGGGAUGGUGCUCUUUGUACCCGCUUUUAAACUGGUAUAAAAAGGUUAUGGGGCCACAGAAGAAAUUAAAGAGAUUUAUUUGCAAACCUGAGAAAUUAGAAGUUACAGUAAAGCAAAGACUGGAAAUACAAGGGCACAUGAGCCAAAGGACACAGUUGAGGAAAAAGACAUGAAUACUAAGCUGUGGAGGGAGGAACA
Schistocerca cancellata (South American locust) is the source of this 410-nucleotide long non-coding RNA. RefSeq lists it as uncharacterized. NCBI's taxonomy places the organism in Eukaryota, Metazoa, Arthropoda, Insecta, Orthoptera, Acrididae. The transcript has 3 exons. The record is from RefSeq and is a predicted model, not a curated record.